RNAcentral lists this long non-coding RNA (2246 nucleotides) under Sus scrofa (pig). RNAcentral describes it as "lncRNA (ENSSSCG00035037046.1)". Lineage: Eukaryota; Metazoa; Chordata; Mammalia; Artiodactyla; Suidae. The record is from RNAcentral.
ACAGAGAGGAAAGAUCCAAGCAGGACCGAAAGCUGGGGAGAGCCCGAAAGGUCAGCGUGUGGACCCGGAGCUGAAGAGGGCGCGCCCCACCUCGGCUCCGAGCUGGAGCCCCGGGCGGCAGAAGCCUGGGAGGAAGGACGCCCGAGAGAGAGGCAGUGCCCGGCGAGCAGAGGUGGAGCGGCUCGGGCCGAGGGACCCCGGAAAGGGAAGGAUUCGGAUCCCAGUUCCUGAGACUGUACGAAUCGGAAGAGAUCGCACAACCAGCCUCUUUCCGCUCUGGAGAGUGCAGUGACACUUAGAAAAGGCCAAGAGGCAAGCCCCAAGCUUCGGGAGCAUUUCUGGCAAGUGGGAAACGGGCCUGGAGUCCUGGGCACCACUGCCUCGUCCUGUUGAGGAGCGUUCACUGACUUUCCCUGUCCUGACAACAGGGACUGAAGGAUGAAUUAGGUAGAUGUCGGGAGACCACAGCCUGGAGACAGGGACACAGGGGGACCGACAUGCAAAAGCCGAUUAAAAUAGGGAUGACAAGUGCCAGGAGACAGGAAGUGGGAACACAGAGGAAGGGCUCCUCACACAUCCCCGGGGCUCAGGGGAGGCCCCUGGGAGAGGUCCGGAAGGUUAAGCCCAGGGUAGCCGAGGGAAGGAGCAGGUGCUGAGGCGGAGGGGAAAAGUGUGGGUGCCUGCAAGGGACUGCUGGCUCUUAGGCCCGCCUGGAGCGCAGAGCCAGUGGCAGGAGCUGAAGUUGCGUCUUCCGGCCACACCAGCGGUUUGUACUUUGUAUAUACGAGGUGGUGGGGAAUCUUUGCCAGAUGUGAAGUAGGGUGGCUGGAGCCCAUCUGAGCUUUGGGGAGGCCUGGACUGGAGGGGGCAAGCUGGAGGCAGAGAUCAGUGGGGAGCCGGGCAGUGAGGGGAGAGGUCCCCGGAGACCCAGCUCAGGGCUUUCUCGCUCCUCCCAGAUGCAGGGUGCAGACGGAGCCGCUGGAGAAAGGCCACUCUAGAAGCUGGGCAAGGAAGACCAGCUGGGCUGGAGGGGCCAAAGGGCUUCAGGAGCCCAGACUCUGGGCCUUCGGGAGAAACACGGAAGGAAAGGCGGUGACCCACGGGAGAUGGCCGUUCCUGCAGGUCAGAGAUCAUGAACGUUGGCAAUUUCAUCUUGUUGCACCUGCCGGGUGUCAGAGCCACCUGGACCCUUUGCUAUGCACACAUCUGGUGACAGAUACAGAUCAGGCCACAGGGCCCGGAUGGUGUGAGAGAACAGUGCGGCUCCAUGCCAGCCACCCCCGGAGCUCUGAGAACUGCAGCAGUGACAAAAGAGGAGCGCUUUAAAGAGCCUCGACUCCUCGGGGUUCCCAAAGUCCCUACAGAGCCGCCACUCCCUGGGGUGAGGAUGAGGUGAACCCCUGGGAGGUAGGGGAGAAUUUCAUUCCACCAAGAGGGGGGUGUGAUGCCUUCCUGGGGAGCUAGAGGGCACAGGCAGAGAGUGGGCAGGAAAGGACCUGAUCAAACUAAAAACUGAUCCGUGUAAUUAAAGCGAUGGUGCACAUGACCAUGGGAGUGAUUUUUUAAAUGUUCCAGGGCUUGUUUUCCUGAAAGUGUAAGUGUUUUGUUGCUGAUGAGUCACGAGCACCAGCCGUGACUUCCUUCUCUAGGGUCCUUUCCUACAGCUGUGUGACCAGGGUGGGAACAACUAGCCUCUCUGUGCCUCUCUCGCUUCAUCCAGCUUCCUGUCCUCACUAUUGUUCCGUGUCAGUGUGUGCGGCGAUGCUUUAGGAUCUCCACCGGUGUGAUUCCUGGUGUGGUUAACGACACGCGCGAGCAAAUGUGUUUUUCCACUCCGAGGCGCGUGUCCCAGAGAACUCAUCUGUCCACCCAAAAAGCUGUGCACGACUAGGGAUAGAACCAUUAUUCAGAAUGGCUAAAUGGGAGAACCAACCCACAUGUCCAUCAGCCGACGAGUGGAUACAUACAGUGUGGUGUAUUCCUCCGAUGGAAUACUAUCCACCUAUAAAAAAGACUGAGACUGGGAGUUCCUGUUGUGCCUCAGUGGAAACGACCCCGACUGGUAUCCCUGAGGAUUUGGGUUUGAUCUCUGGCCUCGUGCAGUAGAUUAAGGAUCCCGCGUUGCCCGGAGCUGUGGUGUAGGUUGCAGACACAGCUCGGAUCUGGCGUUGCCGUGGCUGUGGCCGGCAGCUGCAGCCCUGAUUGGCCCUCUAGCCUGGCAACUUCCAUAUGCCAUGGGUGCGGCC